UACGCUAAUAGAUGGCGUUGUUGUUAAAAUUUGACAUAUUUAAUUAAUUUAUGUAUGAUAAUGUAAAUAUUCUUAAAAAGUAAUAAGUUUCACGGUAAUAGUAUGCUGUUUCUUACGUGUUCAACUCAGUUUGAGACGAGGUUUAGUGUAUAAAACAAGUUUAUUUGUAUAAUUUAAAACCCAGCAGUGACAGCGAAGUAUUCACACACACACUCAAAACGUUUUACCUAUGACCAAAAUAAAAUUCGUGAAACGGAACGCAAACUUGUCAUGAUUGACAGAUGUCAAAGUCAGAAAGCCCAUGAAAUGCCGGAAUCAAGUUUCAACAAGAUAUGUUGUAUACGUGCGAAAUAUUUUUAAAAAAUUCACCACGUCGUACAGGACGAUCAACGAAACUCUCGACUUCUUUAUGAGCAUUCAGGUGGAUACAUCUCUCAAUAUGUUCGUAAUCUCAGAGAGCGUCUAAAGCGAGCAAUCCGAUGAUAGCUUUAUGCUCGACGACAUUGGAAUGACGAAGAUUGGAUCAAUGCGAAAUUAGCUCAAAUUCAGAAUACGGAUACAGAAGAUGACGUUUUAUUUCGUGAGUGAGCCAUCCAUCAAUUUGUGUCAACAAGAACAGUCCCAAAGCAUCCAAGAAAGUACCAGUGUUUCUAUUACUGACUUGAUUAUAUAAAUCAUGCUAUUUAUUUAAUAAAUUCAAGUAAUACUAACUACAUUUAUAGCAAUUAAAAUAUAUGUCCGAGCUUAUAUUUUCAUUGUUAUGUAUAUAUAACAGGUGGGUUAAUACAGGUAAUCCUGUUAGCCUGCCCCAGAGUCACCGAUGCCAAGCCCUGUUCCCAAGGUAUAACAGAAACUCUGCUUUGAAGCCUUAUGAUGAAAUGGGAUUCUUACUGUCAAGACCUGAUGAAGCAUUACAAGGAUCCCACAGAGAGCUUAAGUAUUUUAUGGACAUAAAUAUAAUAAUGGAAGUGCCUAGCCCUGUUGCAGUGCUCUACAAAAAUAAAACAAAUCAUAGAAACUAAA
This is a long non-coding RNA of Cydia pomonella (codling moth), 1023 nucleotides long. RefSeq lists it as uncharacterized. The transcript is spliced from 3 exons. The record is from RefSeq and is a predicted model, not a curated record. NCBI's taxonomy places the organism in Eukaryota, Metazoa, Arthropoda, Insecta, Lepidoptera, Tortricidae.